Molecule: long non-coding RNA, 90 nt
Organism: Mycetomoellerius zeteki
Lineage: Eukaryota; Metazoa; Arthropoda; Insecta; Hymenoptera; Formicidae
Exons: 3
Source: RefSeq, a predicted model, not a curated record
GCAAGUUGCUACUCAAUGUUAUCAUAUCGUGAAGGCAUCAAGUUGCUAACAAAUGAGGACUCAGUUGCUGCAAUUCUGAUUAUAACAACA